Molecule: ribosomal RNA, 370 nt
Filed under: uncultured bacterium
Lineage: Bacteria
Description: bacterial SSU rRNA
Rfam family: Bacterial small subunit ribosomal RNA
Source: RNAcentral
AUUGAACGCUGGCGGCGUGCCUAACACAUGCAAGUCGAGCGGUAACAGGUGUAGCAAUACAUGCUGACGAGCGGCGGACGGGUGAGUAACGCUUGGGAAUCUGCCUAUUAGUGGGGGACAACCCGGGGAAACUCGGGCUAAUACCGCAUACGCUCUACGGAGGAAAGCCGGGGACCGCAAGGCCUGGCGCUAAUAGAUGAGCCCAAGUCGGAUUAGCUAGUUGGUAGGGUAAUGGCCUACCAAGGCGACGAUCCGUAACUGGUCUGAGAGGACGACCAGUCACACCGGAACUGAGACACGGUCCGGACUCCUACGGGAGGCAGCAGUGGGGAAUAUUGGACAAUGGGCGAAAGCCUGAUCCAGCGACGCC